Salvia splendens (bonfire salvia) is the source of this 772-nucleotide long non-coding RNA. RefSeq lists it as uncharacterized. The transcript is spliced from 2 exons. Lineage: Eukaryota; Viridiplantae; Streptophyta; Magnoliopsida; Lamiales; Lamiaceae. The record is from RefSeq and is a predicted model, not a curated record.
UAAAAGCUCAACUUAAUUAAUUCCCCACCUUAUAUCUUCAAUUAAAUUCUACAGCCCAAGACCAAUUAAAUGGAGCCCAACCUUAAAUAAAUCUUAAGACCAAUCUUUAAAACAAAAGGCCCAACAAAAACAAUUCAUGAAAGGCCCAAAAUUUUAAUUAGGGACAAGCCCAUCUCAUUUUAUAUUCUCCCCUCCCCACCGCCUAUCUUCUCCUCUAUUUCUCUCUCUCGUCUCCAUCUAUCUCUCAUUCGUCUGAAAAAGAAACUCCCAAAUUUCCCGUCGUUCUUCUCCGAGCGGGCGUCGCCUUCCACCUCCGCCGUCGGCCGCUGCUCCGUCGCUGCACCGACCGUCUCCAGCCGCCGCGUCGCUGCUCGCCGCUGGAAGGUCGCUGCUGUGCUCCUCGCCGGAAGCCGCCGUCGUCGCUGCCGGGAGACGCGACGCCGCUGCACAGAGCCAGGCUGCUGCCACCGUCGCGGCGCUGCUGUCUCUCCGUCAGGAAGAGGCUGCCGCUGCUGCUGUCUCUCCGUCGAUCCUCUGCCGUCACGACGAAAUCAGGGGACCCUACCUUCGGGUAGUCACCACCUCGAAACGCCCCGAAACUAACCCGAACAGCCCCGACAUUACGGAGGAGGAAUAUCUUUUCACGGAGGAGGAAGAUAUCAGCAGGAUCUUUAUUUAAAUUUGUUUAAUUCGCGGUCCAUUGUAUUUUAUUUUAAAUUGUGCAGUCCGCAAUUUAUUUAUCACAGACUAGAUUUUCAUAUUAUUUAUUCAA